UAAAGGUAACAGGUAUAAAUAUAAUUCUUGCUCUUUUAUUGUAAAUAUGUAAAGAUUUCUGACAAUUGAUUAUUCAUGUCCAUAUAUGCAUAUAUGUUACUUUUUUGGUCAUAUAUUGCAAAAAUAGUGAUAACCUUGUUGGUUCUUUGUUAAUUAUCUUCUCUUAGCAAUCGUUUAGCAUGUAAUAAGUUAUAUUACGAGUUGAUCUUGCGUAGAAGCACGUCAUAAUCAAUGAUAAACUCAUUAAUGCAUCAGUCUAAUAAACGGGUUUGGUGCCUUUGUUUGAUUCUUAUAACAAUCCGCUAAUUGUUCUUAUUGGAACAAUAUUUGUUUUCGAAGCAUAAAGAUCUGUUUACAGACUCGUGGUGUUGCAACUGAUGGAAGAUAUAAACAGUUUGUCGGGCUUUUGAACCGUCCAACCAUUCUGUGAUAAGAUUACUGCAUUUCACUUUCUGUUUUCUUUUUUUCUUUUAAGUAGAUCCUAACAAGGUUUACAAUAACAUACGCUGAAGUUUUCAUUGUCGAUGAUGCGGUAUUGAUAAUUUUUGUAAGUAGUGAAAUUUAUAUCACGCAUAUCGCUAACGUGAUCGAAGAUUUUCCUGAUCACUGGUGGAAAACUCGCAAUAUUGGCAGCGGCCGCGAUCUCAUUGUAGUAAGCCCACUGCCUUUCCUUGAGUUUACCGAUAUGUCUCAGCUAAUGAAGAGAAAAAUCAAUUAUUUUAACGUGAUAUUUUUUUGAGAACAAUUUAAGGUAUGUGUAUGUACAUUGUAAUGUUUUUUUAUUUAAGAAAAACAUAUCUUUUCACUUUUCUAUCACCUCUCCUUAAACUAAAUUUUCUCUUUUAUUACUAGGACACUUGAGAAAUUAAUCUAAGACCCUUUAAUUACCUGAAUUCCUUGAUCCAAUAGGGCCUUCUUUUCGAGCUUGUAUUCCUCGCGCAUUCUUUGCGACGAUGGCAACUGAAUGCGGCCUUCGAGGAUUCCGAGGAUGUAUUGUGCUUGAAUGUGGAACAUCGGGAAUGGUAUCACGAUGGCGGGUAAACCCAUGAAGAACAGAUUCGUGUAAUCCAUGUGCACCAGGUGCUUGUAAAUGGGUUCAACGUGGUUAUCGUCCGUACGUAUCUUAACUUUAGUUGACAUAAAGGGAUACGUGAACUUGUAACCUGACGAAAAUUGAUUAUGAGAAUCAAUUAAAAUUUCACUAAAAUAUUCCACAUGUAUCAAUCAUUAUACCAGUGCAAUAUAUGAAACUGUCCACUUUCGCCGAGGAGCCAUCGCAGAAGAUGAAGAUGUUUCCUUGAACGGACUUGAUGCCGGGUUUUUGCUCGACGUUGCUUGACAUUUUUGAGUCGAUGGGUUUUGUCAAAUUAUGACUCAAGUAUACCUAGAUUAACAAGAGGAAGAUUACAUCAAAUACUGAUUUGCAUAUAUUGUUAUGUCUAUGAUUAAGAUUUUUAAUAAUUUAUAAAACUAUUAUAAUAUAAGUCCAAUUAGGAAUAAAAAGGGUUGUUUUUUUACAUCUGGCGAAGAUAAUUAAUGAUAGGGAUAUGCGUACUUUGUCAGCGUAUUGCGAGACUUCCAGUGCGAUAUCGAUACCGGACCAGGACGCGCCGAGUAUGCAAACAUUCUUGUUGGCGUAUACUUCUGGCUUUCUAUAUUGGUGGCUGUGAAUACAAUCACCGUGGAAGUUUUCGAUACCUGGAAUAUGCGGAACAUGACCGACAGUGUAAUGACCGUUGCACAACACAACGGCGUCAAAAGUUUUCGUGGUUUCUACUUUAGAUUCCAAAUCUUCGUACGUCAGCAUCCACACCGCCUGGCCGUUUCUCAGAAUCUCCGGUUCUAUGUGCUUCACCAGAGUAUUCAACUGAAAUCGAAAAAACGAAUAUAAUUCAAAAUCAAAAAUAUGAUGCAAAACUUUGCCCUUCAUAGAUUUACUCAAGAACUCACUUUAAUGUAAGGAUGAAGAUUGAAGUGUUCUGCAUAGUCCACAAGAUAUUCCUUUAUUACGCUAUGAUGAACAAAAGAUGGACCCUCCUGAUUUUUAAAGGAAAAUCAGGUAUCUGCAUUACUUCCUUCGGUAUAUUCGUUCUGUACGAGAAAUAAUAGAAAAUCAAAUUCUCUUAGAUGAUUCACUCUCAUAUUUAGAGAUAAUGGAUAAUGAGCGGCAAGUUCUGGGAUUAUCAUGUAUUAAUACGAAAAAAAGAUAUGAUACAUACGCAUUGGAAAUAUAAUUUCGGGACUUGUGGCGAGUGAAAUUGAUACGUGAAAGAUGUAAAUCUUGCAACUUUGAAUGUUAAACAAAAAAAAAAACAAAAAAUACACUCAAUUUUUAAUAGACUAAGGUACAUUAUAUUAAUUAUUUAGCACGAAUAUAAAUAAUGUAGUUACUAUAAUUUGCUAUCUGUGUAAUAAAUUAAAAAUGAAUGUA
Non-coding RNA from Nylanderia fulva, 2431 nucleotides. The record is from RefSeq and is a predicted model, not a curated record. Lineage: Eukaryota; Metazoa; Arthropoda; Insecta; Hymenoptera; Formicidae.